RNAcentral lists this ribosomal RNA (98 nucleotides) under uncultured bacterium. Its description in RNAcentral is "partial 16S ribosomal RNA". It matches the Rfam family "Bacterial small subunit ribosomal RNA", at positions 1386 to 1482 of the family's 1533-position model. The record is from RNAcentral.
CACACCGCCCGUCACACCAUGGGAGUUGGUUCUAACCUGAAGACGGUGCGCUAGCCGCAAGGAGGCAGCCGGCCACGGUAGGGUCAGCGACUGGGGUG